RNAcentral lists this ribosomal RNA (51 nucleotides) under Erwinia rhapontici. Lineage: Bacteria; Pseudomonadati; Pseudomonadota; Gammaproteobacteria; Enterobacterales; Erwiniaceae. The record is from RNAcentral.
CGCCGAUGGUAGUGUGGGGUCUCCCCAUGCGAGAGUAGGGAACUGCCAGGC